UCGGGGUUGGUGGUCCUGGGUUCUAUAAGAAAGCAGGCUGAGCAAGCCAUGGGGAGCAAGACAGUAAGCAGCUCCCCUCCAUGGCCUCUGCAUCAGCUCCUGCCUCCAAGUUCCUGUACUGAGUUCCUGUCCUGACUUCCUUCAGUGAUGGACUAUGAUGUGAAGAAUAUGGCAACGUUUGGAGACAUUUUAAUUGUUAUAACCCAGAAGCAGAAGAUUUACUGUCAUCCAGUGGGUAGGCUCCUGGAUUGCUGCUAAACAUCCUACUAUGUGCAGGGUAUCUCCUACUGCAAAGAGGUCUCAAGAUGGCUGCUGCUCCUCCAGGCAUGGCAUCAGCAUUCAAAAGGAAGAAAGAAGAACCAAACCAGCAAGAAGGCUUGAGUGCAUCCAUUACUUUUUAUAACUUUUCCUGGAUGAGUCACACAGUGAGUGAUUCAUCUGUUGGCUUCAUCUAUUGGCUACAACAUGUCACAUGACUUCUAGCCACAAACGCAUCUGGUAAGAUAUAUCAAGAUGAAGAAGGUGUUCUGCCAGCCACCCGAGUUCCACCUGCCGCAUUAAGACCCCAAAUAACACAGAGAUUAAUAUUAGGUAUAAUGCUGCUGGCCAAUGACUAGGAUUUCUUAUAUGCUAACUCAGUCUUAAUUAUCAACCAUCACUACUAAUCUUUAUAUUUUAUAAGACUUAUCUUGUGGAGGACACCAGUGGAAUGCAACCUGUCUUCCUGGGAUCACAUGGCAGAUCCACAGAGAGGAGGAGGAAGAGGAAGAGAAAAGAGAGCUAUUUCCUGCUUGUCCCUGCUUAUAUUCUGAGUCUGCUAUAUCACUUCCUACCUGAAUCACAAGACUUGUCUUUACUACAAUUCCCAGAAUCUUCCUCAACUCCUAGUCCCACCUAAAUUGCUUCCUCA
Molecule: long non-coding RNA, 910 nt
Filed under: Cricetulus griseus (Chinese hamster)
Lineage: Eukaryota; Metazoa; Chordata; Mammalia; Rodentia; Cricetidae
Description: lncRNA (ENSCGRG00015039712.1)
Source: RNAcentral